This 119-nucleotide ribosomal RNA is filed under the name Pteropus alecto (black flying fox). Lineage: Eukaryota; Metazoa; Chordata; Mammalia; Chiroptera; Pteropodidae. The record is from RNAcentral.
GUCUUUGGCCAUGCCACCCUGAACAAGCCCAAUCCUGUCUGAUCUCGGAAGCUAAGCAGGGUCGGACCUGGUUAGUACUUGGAUGAGAGACCACCUAGGAAGACCAGGUGCUGUAGGUG